GGAAGUAAAAGUAGUAACAAGGUUUCCGUAGGUGAACCUGCGGAAGGAUCAUUCAUAAUAAAGUGUUUUAUGGCACUUUUUAAAAAUCCAUAUCCACCUUGUGUGCAAUGUUAGAUCUCGUCAAUCUUGGCGAGAUUUUUAUACAUCAACUCAUUCUUUAACUAAUUUGUCUGAAAAAUAUUAUGAAUACUUAAUUCAAAAUACAACUUUCAACAACGGAUCUCUUGGCUCUC
This 233-nucleotide unclassified non-coding RNA is filed under the name plant metagenome. RNAcentral's name for it is "partial contains small subunit ribosomal RNA, internal transcribed spacer 1, and 5.8S ribosomal RNA". The stretch from base 1 to 54 matches the Rfam family "Eukaryotic small subunit ribosomal RNA", at positions 1778 to 1831 of the family's 1831-position model. The record is from RNAcentral.